GCUGUGCUGAGGGCUCGGUCUCAAUCCAGCAGCGUUCAGAGAUGAGCACCGAGACUCAGAAAGAUCAAGUAACUUGGCUGUGGCACUCAGUUCGGAAGUGGCAGAGAUGGAGACUGUCUCCAAACAAGGAGUGAUCAACGCCUGCUCCACAUACCCCGCCUGCCACUAGAUGUUCUCACAGCGUGGAGAACCUGUGCUUUAUCUCCACAGCCAUUGUCCUGUAAUGAACGGCUUCUUAAUCACCACAAGACCUGAGUAGGGCAUAGCCAGCUCCCAAGUUUUGCAUCACCGCCUUUGUGGGAUCAUUCAGGGAAAGCUUUUGCUAAGGUGACUCUAAAGAAGGACUGCAAUCCCAGCUGUCUUGUUAGAGCACCCCUUGUGUAUUUGACACAUUUUAAAUUUUAAAGAAU
Molecule: long non-coding RNA, 410 nt
Organism: Psammomys obesus (fat sand rat)
Lineage: Eukaryota; Metazoa; Chordata; Mammalia; Rodentia; Muridae
Exons: 3
Source: RefSeq, a predicted model, not a curated record